This 70-nucleotide transfer RNA is filed under the name Dipodomys ordii (Ord's kangaroo rat). It matches the Rfam family "tRNA". From Rfam's summary of the family: Transfer RNA (tRNA) molecules are approximately 80 nucleotides in length. Their secondary structure includes four short double-helical elements and three loops (D, anti-codon, and T loops). Lineage: Eukaryota; Metazoa; Chordata; Mammalia; Rodentia; Heteromyidae. The record is from Rfam by way of RNAcentral.
GGGACUAUGGCUCAGUGGUAGAGCGCUUGCCUAGCAUGCAUGAAGCCCUGGGUUCGAUUCCUCAGUACCA